CGCACAGUAAACGAUGAAUACCAGCUGUUGGCGAUAGACAGUCAGCGGCGUAAGCGAAAGCGUUAAGUAUUCCACCUGGGGAGUACGCCGGCAACGGUGAAACUCAAAGGAAUUGACGGGGGCCCGCACAAGCGGAGGAACAUGUGGUUUAAUUCGAUGAUACGCGAGGAACCUUACCCGGGCUUGAAUUGCAACCGAAUAAUCGAGAGAUCGAUUAGCCGCAAGGCGGUUGUGAAGGUGC
RNAcentral lists this ribosomal RNA (241 nucleotides) under uncultured bacterium. RNAcentral describes it as "partial 16S ribosomal RNA". It matches the Rfam family "Bacterial small subunit ribosomal RNA", at positions 796 to 1041 of the family's 1533-position model. The record is from RNAcentral.